CAGCAGCCGCGGUAAUACGAAGGGUGCAAGCGUUGAUCGGAAUUACUGGGCGUAAAGCGUGCGUAGGCGGUUUGUUAAGUCUGUUGUGAAAUCCCCGGGCUCAACCUGGGAAUGGCAAUGGAUACUGGCAAGCUAGAGUGUGUCAGAGGAUGGUGGAAUUCCCGGUGUAGCGGUGAAAUGCGUAGAGAUCGGGAGGAACAUCAGUGGCGAAGGCGGCCAUCUGGGACAACACUGACGCUGAGGCACGAAAGCGUGGGGAGCAAACAGGAUUAGAUACCCCCGUAGUCCCUGUCUCUUAUAC
RNAcentral lists this ribosomal RNA (301 nucleotides) under uncultured bacterium. RNAcentral's name for it is "partial 16S ribosomal RNA". It matches the Rfam family "Bacterial small subunit ribosomal RNA", at positions 509 to 807 of the family's 1533-position model. The record is from RNAcentral.